This 520-nucleotide ribosomal RNA is filed under the name uncultured Glomus. RNAcentral's name for it is "SSU rRNA". It matches the Rfam family "Eukaryotic small subunit ribosomal RNA", at positions 569 to 1090 of the family's 1831-position model. The record is from RNAcentral. Lineage: Eukaryota; Fungi; Glomeromycota; Glomeromycetes; Glomerales; Glomeraceae.
AGCAGCCGCGGUAAUUCCAGCUCCAAUAGCGUAUAUUAAAGUUGUUGCAGUUAAAAAGCUCGUAGUUGAAUUUCGGGAUCAAAUUGUCGGUCGUGCCUCGGUACGUACUGGCGUUAUUGGUUCCUCCCUUCUGAAGAACCGCGAUGUCAUUAAUUUGGUGUCGCGGGGAAUCAGGACUGUUACUUUGAAAAAAUUAGAGUGUUUAAAGCAGGCUCGCGCUUGAAUACAUUAGCAUGGAAUAAUGAAAUAGGACGUUUGAUUCUAUUUUGUUGGUUUCUAGGAUCGACGUAAUGAUUAAUAGGGAUAGUUGGGGGGCAUUAGUAUUCAAUUGUCAGAGGUGAAAUUCUUGGAUUUAUUGAAGACUAACUACUGCGAAAGCAUUUGCCAAGGAUGUUUUCAUUAAUCAAGAACGAAAGUUAGGGGAUCGAAGACGAUCAGAUACCGUCGUAGUCUUAACCAUAAACUAUGCCGACUAGGGAUCGGAUGAUGUUAAUUUUUUAAUGACUCAUUCGGCGCCUUA